GUCCAGGGUAGCCUAGUGGCUCAUGGAAUCUGCCCGGUAAGCGGAAGGUCGUGGGUUCGAUUCCCAUCCCUUGACA
RNAcentral lists this transfer RNA (76 nucleotides) under Cordylochernes scorpioides. RNAcentral's name for it is "tRNA-Thr". It matches the Rfam family "tRNA". Rfam says of the family: Transfer RNA (tRNA) molecules are approximately 80 nucleotides in length. Their secondary structure includes four short double-helical elements and three loops (D, anti-codon, and T loops). Lineage: Eukaryota; Metazoa; Arthropoda; Arachnida; Pseudoscorpiones; Chernetidae. The record is from RNAcentral.